RNAcentral lists this long non-coding RNA (3348 nucleotides) under Sus scrofa (pig). RNAcentral describes it as "lncRNA (ENSSSCG00035031051.1)". The record is from RNAcentral. Lineage: Eukaryota; Metazoa; Chordata; Mammalia; Artiodactyla; Suidae.
UCGGGUCGUGUUCUGACAGCUAGCACUCCACUCUUGUUUGCUGCGUGCGUUCGUCGCUUGGCCCGCUUGCUGUUCUCGCAAAAGCGCGGGGCAGAGGAGAGAAAGAAGCCUCUCGUUCUCCGAGAGAGACGCAGAGGCCGCAGUCAGGGCCUGGAUAUACUCGGAGGCUCGGCUUCUCCUCUGGGUGCUCCUUGUUGCUUCCAGGGAAAGUUUAGUCUGGAUCUGAGGCCUCGUGGCGCUCUUCCUGGUUUUUCAAUUUUGGUGGAGAAAUAGAGUUUGUGGUGAAGUAAAUGGCACCGCUGGAAUCCAAACCCUAAUGAAGCAGAGUCUCUUCUUAACCACUGUCUAUACUAAAGGUAAUUUAAAACAGGGUGCAGACAACAGGAAAGCAACAACUCUGGUUUGGUCACCGUGGUGGUCUUGCCCAGCACAUGGUGGGAGUCCAGCCAGAGCUGAUGGGAGCACCACAGGCAUCUCCCCUGAUGCAGGGUAAAUUGCAGAAGCCGUGGUACCAGCCCGCAUCCAUGACCCCACAGAUAUUCCCCUUCUCCAAGUGGACUGACCCAGGCCUUUUACAAACACAGAAGGAUCUUGUGCAAGAUGAAUUCUAGUACUAGCUACUAAAAGAUCUCUUCACACAAAAGGCAAUAUUCCUGAAUUUGUAUUGGUCCAGGCAUUCGAGAAUCAAGAUGUUUUCCUGUUUCCAUGGAAGCAGAGUUCAUUUGGCUGGGAUGUUCUGAGCUUUUGCUUCCAGACCUUUGAUGCCGGGGCAUGUUGUCUUCAGCAGAGGCUCUGGCCAAGUCAGAUGCCCACGUGUCUCUGCUUGGUGAAGCCGAAUGCCUCGCCAUGACUCUGGAGAAGCUCUUUAAGUGUCUGAUGCAGUGGGAAGAGCUGAGCCACAGCUUGAUACCAGUGUUGGGCCCCAGAGUCCCCAUAUGCUGCCUCUCAAGGGUGGUAUUCAAAGUGGGUUGUUGUUCUUGUUGUUGUUUUGGUCACAUCCCAGGCGUAACUGCAGUACAACAUCACAGCCAGGAUGCUGACAUUGAUAAUCCUCCUAUCUCAUUCACAUUUCCCCGUUUUACUUGUAAUGUGUGUGUGUGUGUGUGUGUUUGUAUUUAGUUCUUUGAUGUUUUAUCACAUGUGCAGAUUAAUGUAUCUGCUACAGUCAAGAUAUAGAACACCUGAAUCCUUUGUGUUGCUCUUUGGUACCCACCUCCUCCCCAUCCCUCCACCCCAACACCUGGCAACCACUGAGCUAGUCUCCAUACUGCAAAUUUUGUGAUAUCAUUUGUUACAUAGAUGGAAUUGCCUAUUGCAUAGCUUUGGCGGAAUGGCUUUUCAUUUUCCCCCUCAAAACAUAUUUCUUUACAAUUACUACAAGCUGUUGCAUGUAUCAGUAGUUUUCUUUCUUUCUUUCUUUCUUGCUUGCUUCCUUCCUUCCUUCCUUUCUUUUUUUUUUUGGCUGAACCAGUAGUGGCAGGCAGAAGUUCUGGGACCAGGGAUCGAACCCAAGCCAUAGCAGUAACCAAAGCCACAGCAGUGACAAUGCUGUACCCUCAACUCUCUGAGCCAGCAGGACUCUCCUCAAAGUGUUUUUUUUUUUUUUUCCUUUCUUUUUAGGGCCACACCCACAGCAUAUGGAAGUUCCUGGGCUAGGGGUCAAAUUGGAGCUGCAGCUGCUGGGUUACACCACAGCCACGGCAAUGUGGGAUCCAAGCUGUGUCUGCAACCUGCACCAUGACUCACAACAACACCCAGAUCCUUAACGCACUAAAUAAGUGCAGGGAUCGAACCCUUAUCCUCAUGGAUACUAGUUGGGUUCAUAAUCACUGAGCCACAAUGGGAAGCCCCCAAAGUGGGGUUUUGGAAGAUAGUAGGAUUAUUCUAGGCUCAGAUUAAAGUCAGGUGGGUAAGCAUCAUUGCACAGGGAGGAAAAAGUGUGAGCCAGAUGGUGAAGGCAGGAAAGUUAGAGCCCUCUUUGGGAAGGAGAUGGCGAUAUUGUAGGAACCAGCUUGGGGUUUGUUUGGGAGGGACAGCAGCAGGCUCUCUCCCUGCCUCGUGUCACUUCCCUAUGUCCUUCCUGUGAUUUGGGGGCCUCUGUGGUGCAUGGCCACCUGUAUGCAGGCAGCACCAGCAUCUUGUCCCUCUUGCUCUGUCUCAGGGCUCUCUCCUGGGUGCAGGAGAGCACUCAGCCUGCUUGCAGGAGCAUCUCAGCACGCAGGCAGCCCCCAGCCCAGGGGAGGAAGGUUGGUGGACCACACCAUGACAUGUGGUCUACACACGUCCUUUGAGGGGUGAGCCCGGUGCCCACAGUGGUAACCAGUGCGAUAACGCUGUUUAACCCUUUCGAUACCCUCACACUUGCCUGGGCUCAUCUUGCAAAGAAGUCACCUGCAUGUGAUUUAUGAGCAUGGAGGAAACUACUGAAGGGUACGCGGUUGUUGGGAUGAUUGCUUGGUGCAGCAUAGGGAAGGUAAGCAGGAGAGGGAAUGGGCAUAAAAUAUACUCAAACCAAACAAAACUACCCAUUAGACACAGCAUGCUGAGUUUUUUGUUUGUUUGUUUUUGUUUUUGCCUUUUUCUUUUUGCCUUUUAGGGCUGCACUUGGAGCAUAUGGAUGUUCCCAGACUAGGAGUUGAACCAGAGCUGUAGCUGUUGGCCUACGCUGCAGCCACAGCAAUGCCAGAUCCGAGCUGAGUCUGUGACCCACACCACAGCUCAUGGCAAUGCUGGAUCUCCAAUCCAGUGAGCGAAGCCAGGGAUCGAACCUGCAUCCCCAUGGAUACUAGUUGAAUUCAUUUCUGCUGGACCGCGACGGGAACUCCCACAUGCUGGGUUCUUUGAUAGACAAUCUGUAAGGAAAAGAGAAAGGUAGAGAGGAAACCUAUGCCGAGAAGAAAUGAAGACUUCUCAAAAAACUUUUUAAUUAAAAAAAUUAUUGAUUUAUUUAUUUUUGGCCAUGCCUGAGGCACGUGGAAGGUCCUGGGCCAGGGAUUGAACCUUGCACCACAGCAGUGACAACAUCAGAUUCUUAACUGCUGGGCCACCAGGGAACUCUCAAAAUUUUUUUUAAAUGGACCAGACCAAGCUAUAGUGUUUAGGAUUUCAUAGUUGAGUGAUAAGACCAUAAAGAAACACAAAGAAGGGAGUAUCACUGAAGUCACAAUAGUGAUUACUUUUUUUAAAGGGAGACAGGUAGUGGCUAUCAUGGGACAUUUGAUGGAAAUUUCUAAGCUGCAAAGUUCUAUUUUUUUGAUCUGGGUGGUAGUUAUAAUAAUUCAUUGAAGAGUACAUUUAUUUUGAAUAGUUUUUCUGCAUUUGUAUUCUAUUUUACUUUGCAAAAGAAAG